AUAGUUACCCCACUAUGCUCAGCCGUAAACCUUAAUUUACAUCAAAAUCGCCAGGGAACUACGAGCCACGCUUAAAACCCAAAGGACUUGACGGUACCUCACACCCAACUAGAGGAGCCUGUCCUAUAAUCGAUAGUCCCCGUUCAACCUCACCCCUCCUAGCCUCUCAGUCUGUAUACUUCCGUAGUCAGCCUACCACAUGAGUGGUACCCAGUGGGCUAAUCGCUCAAUUCGCAUUAACAUCAGGUCAAGGUGCAGCAAAUGGAGGGGGAAGAGAUGGGCUACAUUCUCUAGCAUAGAGCAUACGAAUGACUGCAAUGAAACCCAGUCUGAAGGCGGAUUUAGAAGUAAAGAGAGAUUAGAGUGCUCUCUUUAAUACUGGCACUGAGGUGUGUACACACCGCCCGUCACCCUCCUCGAAGUCUACAAAUCAGUAACUAACAACUAGCGACACAAGAGAGGAGGCAAGUC
Molecule: ribosomal RNA, 471 nt
Filed under: Craugastor decoratus
Lineage: Eukaryota; Metazoa; Chordata; Amphibia; Anura; Craugastoridae
Description: partial small subunit ribosomal RNA
Rfam family: Bacterial small subunit ribosomal RNA
Source: RNAcentral